Neopsephotus bourkii (Bourke's parrot) is the source of this 992-nucleotide long non-coding RNA. RefSeq lists it as uncharacterized. The record is from RefSeq and is a predicted model, not a curated record. The transcript has 3 exons. NCBI's taxonomy places the organism in Eukaryota, Metazoa, Chordata, Aves, Psittaciformes, Psittacidae.
UGGGAACCUGUCCAUCUGCCUGGGGACAAACCUCCUUAGCCCACCCCUUGAGCUGCCCCUGGAUGUCCUGGCGCAGGAGACGGGCAAGGUGACCCAGCUCGUGCAGUUCCCCAUCAAACACCAGGAGGAACUCCUUGGGGAGGAGGUGGCUGGGCUGGCCAGCGAGGGGGCCCAGGAGCCACCAGCACCGCCAGUAGAGGCAGAAACAGCAGAGGUUUGUGAAGUGCACAAAGAGCAUGACAGCAAAAGCCUUCCCCCUCAGAAGGUGGGGCUGCUGCUGCAGGGACAAGCAUGGUCAGCCACCAGCCUGCAGCUCUGCCAAAGUGCAAAGCAAGGCAGAUGCAAGUCGGCCAUCCUGCUUUGGGCAGUGGUGCCAUAGCUGGCUCAGCUGAGCUGAGCAAAGCCAUCCAAGGGCUGUGCCUUUCAGAGCUAAGGCAGCAAUUGAGCAGGGAGGUCAUUGCCCCCUGCUAACUUACACAUUUCCAUUGCAGGUGCCUCCUUUUGCUCCUGAAAGCGAGCAACGGAAUAGCUUUUGGGGGGAGAAAAGUUAAGACUGCUUAGCUCUGCUUGCUUCAAGGUAAUCAUGGCUUCAGCUGUCUAGCAAUACUGUUGAAUGGAAAGGUUGCCAGGCUCUGCAAGAGGGAACAGAAAGCAGUGAGCAGCCUCUGAAGAGGGGAGCGAUGGGCCACUGUGCACGAAGAAGAGCAGGUUGCACACCGAGCCCUUAUCAGGGAUGGGCAUCUGAAAGCAGGGGAAGAAGGAGGAGCGUGGAUGUCCAUGUACUGCUUGGACUCCCCGGAUGAGCCCUGCUGCCUGGCCUUUGGGUUCCACCAUGCGGCCCCAGCACCACCCUGGUGGCAGCGAGGACAGAGCCACGGUGUCCUUCUGCUCUGGAGGGAAGGUGCCACCACCUCACCCUGGAGCCAGAGCAGUGCCGUCAGGCCCAUCCUGGCCCUCACAGGGGGCCUUGCUGGCUCAUUCGUCAGCCCCGC